UUCUCUCGGCGCUGCCGCGUGCUUUCGGACUCUUCCUCACUCAGCAAACACGCAGCUCGCUCUCGGCAUGCACCUCGCAUCUCUCAUCCUCAGCGUCUUGCUGGCCCGGCUCCUGGGCGCCACGGGGCAGGACACGGUCACCCAGGAUGAUGGACCAGUCACGGUGAAGCAGGGACACUCCUUCCACACCACCUGCAAACACCAGAGCAGUAAUUUUUAUGCCUUGCUCUGGUACCAGCUGCGGCAAGGCCAAGCCCCACAGCUGCUCUCCUAUCAAGCAGGGAGUGGCCCCAAGCACAGCGGCCGGAUCACCACGCACCUGAACACCACGGGCAAAUCCAGUUACAGUGAAGGAGAAUUCGGGAGUUCCCAACAUGACAGCCAAGGGGAGAUGUGA
This is a non-coding RNA of Lonchura striata (white-rumped munia), 397 nucleotides long. NCBI's taxonomy places the organism in Eukaryota, Metazoa, Chordata, Aves, Passeriformes, Estrildidae. The record is from the annotation of a RefSeq genome assembly.